AAUCAACAAAAAAUCCUGCAGUUCACUUUUUAUGUGGAUAGUACAUUGGAGGCAGAUAAUUUUCCCACUUCUGCCUCCUUGUCAGUUCUUUAUUCCUUUGAAUCAGAAUAUAACAGCGUCCAGUAAUGCAGCUAGCCCAUGUGUGAAAUGAAGCAAGAGUGGCAUAGUACACUCUGAGCUGUUCAGUGAAAAACAGGCAUGGACAGCCACAGGAAGGGUGGGGCUUCAGGCCACAUUAAGCAUAGAAUGUGAAAAGAAGAGAUCCUGAGGAAUAUCACCGUUAAGAGAGAAAAGGUGUCCAGAAUGGCUACGAGAAAACUUAAGAGGACGUGACAUUUUAGAAGCAGAGGAAAGAGAGCAUUUCAGAAAAAAAGAUAGAUUACAUGAAUAAGUAGGAAAAGAAGGUCUGUGGAAGAGUAACGAAAUAAUAAAAGAGAGAGAGAGGAAAGGCGGACACUGAUGAGAUGGAAUGAAGGCAUUGGACCUCAGGUCACCUGACAACGAACCCAAGG
This 512-nucleotide long non-coding RNA is filed under the name Homo sapiens (human). RNAcentral's name for it is "HSALNT0198500". The record is from RNAcentral. Lineage: Eukaryota; Metazoa; Chordata; Mammalia; Primates; Hominidae.